AGGAGCUCUGACUUGUGCUCAGCUCUCUAUCCCCCCUAGAGCUGCAACUCGCCAAAGCCAAACACACGAAUAUUAUUUCAAGAUUUACAGACACAACGUUACCGUAGAGCAAGGACGCAGGGCACACCCACGGAAGCUUCACAUGGAAAUUCAAGAGAGAACUAUGGGCAAUCUGGCUUUUUAGCAUUUUUAUAAGACAAUAUUCAGUAGUAUAUAUAUAUAUAUAUAUAUAUAUAUAAAAAUAUAUAUGAUUAUACAUGGCUGCUGGACUUUUCUUUUGCUUUGCUUCAUUUUAACAAAGAGAAACAUGGCAACGCUUUACGUCACUGUAUCAUUCUGUAUGACAUCAUAUUUCCCCAGUCUGUAUUGCAUCAUAUAUAGACACGUGUCUGACCGUCUGACAACCACAAAGUGCUUCCUCUAUGACUCUAUUUAGCUUCAGCAACACAAACUGCUGCAAUUGACAAAGCGUUAUUAAAUAUGAAAACAUAACCUUACAAUGAAAAAUGGCACAGCCAUUAACCUGAAGGGGUUCCAUUCUUCGUGUUUACAGGGUUGAAAGCUACUGUCUCAUAUCAGAUUACAAGAAAGAUUUAUUCAAUAAAACAACACUGCGUUGCCUUAAGUGAAGGCUACAUGUGAUGCUUUUAACAGGGCGAUCCAGCGUAUUAAAUGCAGCAUUUCCAACUCUACAUCAUUUUUAUGUCUCUCGCAAUGAAUUCAAACUUAAAUGUGCCCGACAAUAUAUUGUGAUCCUCCUAAAUAAAGCGCUUUGUGGGGAGCUAGUGCUGGGAGCUGCUUGCUAUGUGCAGGAUAGAAUUGGAUUUUAUUUGCUGUAAGAGCAGGGCAGCUGCCUGGAUACACACAUACCCUCAGUGCCAUAAAGCUGCUCAGCACUGAUCACAUUCACACAUUUAAAGGAGUAGAUGCAGCACCCAACACUCCCCACCACCUGCUUCUCAUUAGGCUUCUCACACUACAAAAAUCCUAUUUCAGAAAUUCAGAAAGGAUUUAAUUUGUAGGUGAAUUUAAUAAUCCCUUAAAAAAGAAAAAAAAAAAACAAAAACCCCAAACAGCCGAUUCCUGACCAAUUGAAUGCGAUUGCGCUGGUUUGGCAGCGUUUGGUCACUUGGUGGCAGUAUAUAAACAAGUAAACAAAGGAAUGCCCUUAGGACUAAGCCAAGCUGCAUUACAGAAUGACUUCAAUUUCACUAGCUUGCAAUAUGGCAGUCUCUAGAGGAGAUCCAGGCAAUAGAACCGAGGUCACAUUUUAAGGUGAUAGCUAAGAACGUUUUGGACAAGAGUUAUUUCAGCAAAGAAAUACUUCCAAGAAAAGAGCUGGAUGUAGACAACAGACUAAUAUUUUUUCCCACAUAACAGUGAGCCCUAUAACAUGGGAGCAGCAAUAUUGUGACUUCUUAAUAGAGGCAGCAAUAACCCCCAGCUGCAUGUUUGCUUUAUAUCCUGCCAGUAACUGGACCUGGGUAAAAACACUGUAUAAUUCGCAUAUACAUGGAGAUACUGUUAUUUCUAUCCAUUCUAGGUCUAACCAUAAAAAAUGAAAAAUAAAAUAAACGUAUAUACAAAUAAAAUCACUUGUACCAGAA
Xenopus tropicalis (tropical clawed frog) is the source of this 1607-nucleotide long non-coding RNA. RefSeq lists it as uncharacterized. The record is from RefSeq and is a predicted model, not a curated record. The transcript has 2 exons. NCBI's taxonomy places the organism in Eukaryota, Metazoa, Chordata, Amphibia, Anura, Pipidae.